Molecule: long non-coding RNA, 691 nt
Organism: Capsicum annuum
Lineage: Eukaryota; Viridiplantae; Streptophyta; Magnoliopsida; Solanales; Solanaceae
Exons: 4
Source: RefSeq, a predicted model, not a curated record
CAAAGAUCAGCUCCUUUAUAUAGAUUGAAAUCAGCAAUUUUUGCUCAUUUUUAACUUAGAAAAAAAUUUCAGCUUCUAGGUUUUUCUCUCUUGUUAUCUCUUGGCUAUGAAGUAACCCUAUAUUCCCACAAGGGUUCUUGGAAUUUACCUUCCUCCCAAGAUAAAGGUAUUAAUCUAUUGAAGAGAUACAAAUUAAGAGGCUAAACUAACAAGGAAAUCAAGAUAAGUAACCUAAAAGGCAGGAAGUCAAGUCGGGUUAGUUUCGGAGUUAUAUAACCAGGUGGCAGCUCAGGGGCGUAAGCCUAGCAUAGGCACCAAGUGAGCAGAAAAGUUGGACAAAAAAAUAAAGGAGUAGACAUGCCCUCGGUUAUCUCAAUUGCGGUCCUCAUAUGCGAUUACGGUUACCUGCUUGUCUGCAUAACUAUCAAUCAGCCGCGAUCAUGGACAAAGAAGCUAAUUGAUUCAAUGACUACUCCUUAAUUUCCUCACAUUCUCGCUCGAGUUCUUGCAUACAGGGAUGGUCUGAUCUCAAGAUAAAUGGUGAUGGUGUAGAGUUUAAAAAUGAUUGUGGUCUUUGAUUGAGUUUCAGGGAGCACCCUUAUUUCUUUAUUAGCUUUUAUAUUCAUGCAAUAUGGACACUGAUACCUUUUUAGUUGGGUUUUUUUUCCCUUAUUCAAGUCAUUUCAGCCUA